AGUGAACGCUGGCGGUAGGCCUAACACAUGCAAGUCGAACGGCAGCACAGUAAGAGCUUGCUCUUACGGGUGGCGAGUGGCGGACGGGUGAGGAAUACAUCGGCAUCUACUUUUUCAUGGGGGAUAACGUAGGGAAACUUACGCUAAUACCGCAUACGACCUACGGGUGAAAGCAGUGGAUCUUCGGACCUUGCGCGAUUGAAUGAGCCGAUGUCGGAUUAGCUAGUUGGCGGGGUAAAGGCCCACCAAGGCGACGAUCCGUAGCUGGUCUGAGAGGAUGAUCAGCCACACUGGAACUGAGACACGGUCCAGACUCCUACGGGAGGCAGCAGUGGGGAAUAUUGGACAAUGGGCGCAAGCCUGAUCCAGCCAUACCGCGUGGGUGAAGAAGGCCUUCGGGUUGUAAAGCCCUUUUGUUGGGAAAGAAAAGCAGCAGGUUAAUACCCCGCUGUUCUGACGGUACCCAAAGAAUAAGCACCGGCUAACUUCGUG
Molecule: ribosomal RNA, 492 nt
Filed under: uncultured bacterium
Lineage: Bacteria
Description: partial 16S ribosomal RNA
Rfam family: Bacterial small subunit ribosomal RNA
Source: RNAcentral